AUGUGGUCAUCUUACCCAAUUGAAAAGCAAGCCUACAAUUCAUACACUAGAGACUUGUACGAGAAAUUCCGCGAUGAAUUUCAGUUGACUACAAGGUACAACGUGCGACCCCACGGUGAACACUUGUAUGAGCUUUACCCCAAUCAAGAAUGGGUUGCUAAGUAUGGUUCUAGGAGCUAUUUUGUGACUGUUGAAACUAGUGCUGGAGACUACAGAUGUGAGUGUUGCAAGUUUCAUAGGGAUGGGAUGCUUUGCUGCCAUAUAUUGAAGGUUUUCAACCAUCUUGGGGUUGAUGAAAUCCCAACGCAGUACAUCAAAAGAAGAUGGACACCUCUAGCAAUCACGGAUGCACCGCCUGCUGUUGAGGAUAAGUCUGAUGAGUUGCCGGAACAAUCGAAGAAAGAACUCCGUCAUGCAAACUUGAUGAUGGACUUUGGUGGACUUGCUAAGGUUGCUAGUGCAUCGGAUGCUGCGACAAAUAUUGUAAAGAAGCAUAUGCGUGGAGCGCGUCAC
This 513-nucleotide ribosomal RNA is filed under the name Triticum aestivum (bread wheat). RNAcentral describes it as "partial small subunit ribosomal RNA". The record is from RNAcentral. Lineage: Eukaryota; Viridiplantae; Streptophyta; Magnoliopsida; Poales; Poaceae.